ACAUUCGGGGAUACCACCCUGAACGCUCCCCAUGGCCUCUGAUUGGGAGGCUAAGCAGCCUUGGGCCUGGUUAGUGCAUGAGUGGGAGGCCCUGGCCGGUUUGGCUCAAGGGAGUA
Molecule: ribosomal RNA, 116 nt
Filed under: Myotis lucifugus (little brown bat)
Lineage: Eukaryota; Metazoa; Chordata; Mammalia; Chiroptera; Vespertilionidae
Source: RNAcentral